This 432-nucleotide ribosomal RNA is filed under the name uncultured bacterium. RNAcentral's name for it is "bacterial SSU rRNA". It matches the Rfam family "Bacterial small subunit ribosomal RNA", at positions 30 to 467 of the family's 1533-position model. The record is from RNAcentral.
AUUGAACGCUGGCGGCAUGCCUUACACAUGCAAGUCGAACGGUAACAGGUCUUCGGAUGCUGACGAGUGGCGAACGGGUGAGUAAUACAUCGGAACGUGCCCGAGAGUGGGGAUAACGAGGCGAAAGCUUUGCUAAUACCGCAUACGAUCUCAGGAUGAAAGCAGGGGACCGCAAGGCCUUGCGCUCACGGAGCGGCCGAUGGCAGAUUAGGUAGUUGGUGAGGUAAAGGCUCACCAAGCCGACGAUCUGUAGCUGGUCUGAGAGGAGACCAGCCACACUGGGACUGAGACACGGCCCAGACUCCUACGGGAGGCAGCAGUGGGGAAUAUUGGUCAAUGGCGCAAGCCUGAACCAGCCAUGCCGCGUGCAGGAAGACGGUCCUAUGGAUUGUAAACUGCUUUAUACAGGAAGAAACCCUCCACGUGUGGGAG